Oreochromis niloticus (Nile tilapia) is the source of this 203-nucleotide long non-coding RNA. RefSeq lists it as uncharacterized. The record is from RefSeq and is a predicted model, not a curated record. The transcript is spliced from 3 exons. NCBI's taxonomy places the organism in Eukaryota, Metazoa, Chordata, Actinopteri, Cichliformes, Cichlidae.
UCUGCUGCUGAGACGAUGUGUUCACAGGAAACCUGAAGAACGAGAAGAAGCUGGAGAAGAUGACAUUAUAUAUGACAAUGAAAUAACAUACAGCACUGUUAAAAUAUCAAAUGAUCAAAAAGAUCCAAUCAGGUGAUGCAGAGAGCCAGAUGUCGUCUACUCUUCACUGAAGUAGUCCACCAGUCCAACCACUGUCAUCCAGC